CCUACGGGUGGCUGCAGUGGGGAAUAUUGGACAAUGGGCGAAAGCCUGAUCCAGCCAUGCCGCGUGUGUGAAGAAGGCCUUCGGGUUGUAAAGCACUUUCAGUGGGGAAGAAAGCCUUGGGGCUAAUACCCUCGAGGAAGGACAUCACCCACAGAAGAAGCACCGGCUAACUCCGUGCCAGCAGCCGCGGUAAUACGGAGGGUGCGAGCGUUAAUCGGAAUUACUGGGCGUAAAGCGCGCGUAGGCGGUCUGAUAAGCCGGUUGUGAAAGCCCCGGGCUCAACCUGGGAACGGCAUCCGGAACUGUCAGGCUAGAGUGCAGGAGAGGAAGGUAGAAUUCCAGGUGUAGCGGUGAAAUGCGUAGAGAUCGGGAGGAAUACCAGUGGCGAAGGCGGCCUUCUGGGCUGACACUGACGCUGAGGUGCGAAAGCGUGGGUAGCAAACAGGAUUAGAUACCCCAGUAGUC
Molecule: ribosomal RNA, 465 nt
Filed under: Vreelandella stevensii
Lineage: Bacteria; Pseudomonadati; Pseudomonadota; Gammaproteobacteria; Oceanospirillales; Halomonadaceae
Description: partial 16S ribosomal RNA
Rfam family: Bacterial small subunit ribosomal RNA
Source: RNAcentral